Molecule: ribosomal RNA, 194 nt
Filed under: uncultured bacterium
Lineage: Bacteria
Description: partial 16S ribosomal RNA
Rfam family: Bacterial small subunit ribosomal RNA
Source: RNAcentral
CCUACGGGAGGCAGCAGUGGGGAAUUUUGGACAAUGGGCGAAAGCCUGAUCCAGCCAUGCCGCGUGAGUGAAGAAGGCCUUCGGGUUGUAAAGCUCUUUCAGGUGGAAAGAAAACUUCCGGGUGAAUACCCCGGGAGGCUGACGGUACCAUCAGAAGAAGCACCGGCUAACUACGUGCCAGCAGCCGCGGUAAU